CCUACACUGACAGCUGUUCUGUGUGGUCAGCAGGACCAAAUGAGGAAAGCAGAAACCUUCCCUUGCUGCUAAGCUAAUUUGUACUGUCUUGAAAGAGGACAUUCCCUUUGUGGUUGAGGAUCUGUCAUGCCCAGCCCAGCAAUAGAAGCUGAUCUCCUGUGGUGAAGUUUGUGGUCAGAGAUGACUAAUCAGAUGGCUGCAACCACACGCAGCUCAUCCAAAGUUUGUAUCCACAUAAAAAGGCGAAGUUUAAUCAAACCACAAAACAAGGCGUGAUGCUCUGGAAGAUGGCGUUCUACAAGCCAGCUCUCCCUACUCCUGUUUCAAAUGUGCUGUGAGUUGAUUAUCCUAGGAAGCAGAUUGACUGUACAUUUAUUUCAAAUGUCCUGAGAUCCUGAUUGAGGACUCAAAGGAUUUGUUUUGUCCUUCAUUGUGAUUAGUAGAUGGUUUUAUGUUCCUUGAUUAUGAUAAAUUUGUUUUUGAAACUCAUUAUAAUAUUUAAAUUGACCAUUAUCACAAAUGGGUGUCAGCACUUGGCUGUCAGUAUUUUUCUUCAGGAAGAAAUGAAUAAACUAAAAUUAUGAAAUU
RNAcentral lists this long non-coding RNA (588 nucleotides) under Rattus norvegicus (Norway rat). Its description in RNAcentral is "long non-coding RNA NONRATT015629". The record is from RNAcentral. Lineage: Eukaryota; Metazoa; Chordata; Mammalia; Rodentia; Muridae.